RNAcentral lists this ribosomal RNA (428 nucleotides) under uncultured prokaryote. RNAcentral describes it as "bacterial SSU rRNA". It matches the Rfam family "Bacterial small subunit ribosomal RNA", at positions 355 to 774 of the family's 1533-position model. The record is from RNAcentral.
UGGGGAAUAUUGGACAAUGGGCGCAAGCCUGAUCCAGCCAUGCCGCGUGUGUGAAGAAGGCCUUUUGGUUGUAAAGCACUUUAGGCGAGGAGGAGGCUACCCUGACCAAUACUCAGGAGUAGUGGACGUUACUCGCAGAAUAAGCACCGGCUAACUCCGUGCCAGCAGCCGCGGUAAGACGGAGGGUGCAAGCGUUGUUCGGAAUCACUGGGCGUAAAGAGCGUGUAGGCGGCUGAAUAAGUCAGAUGUGAAAUCCCUGGGCUUAACCCAGGAAGUGCAUUUGAAACUAUUCAGCUUGAGUAGGGGAGAGGAAAGUGGAAUUCCUGGUGUAGAGGUGAAAUUCGUAGAUAUCAGGAGGAACACCGGUGGCGAAGGCGACUUUCUGGCCCUAUACUGACGCUGAGACGCGAGAGCGUGGGUAGCAAACA